RNAcentral lists this transfer RNA (85 nucleotides) under Syntrophus aciditrophicus SB. RNAcentral's name for it is "tRNA-Tyr (GTA) (tRNA-Tyr-GTA-1-1)". It matches the Rfam family "tRNA". Rfam says of the family: Transfer RNA (tRNA) molecules are approximately 80 nucleotides in length. Lineage: Bacteria; Pseudomonadati; Thermodesulfobacteriota; Syntrophia; Syntrophales; Syntrophaceae. The record is from RNAcentral.
GGAGGGGUUCCCGAGUGGUCAAAGGGAGCAGACUGUAAAUCUGUCGGCUCAGCCUACGGAGGUUCGAACCCUCCCCCCUCCACCA